This 379-nucleotide ribosomal RNA is filed under the name uncultured eukaryote. RNAcentral's name for it is "SSU rRNA". It matches the Rfam family "Eukaryotic small subunit ribosomal RNA", at positions 587 to 972 of the family's 1831-position model. The record is from RNAcentral.
AGCUCCAAUAGCGUAUAUUAAAAUUGUUGCGGUUAGAACGCUCGUAGUCGAAUGUUUGUUCAAGCCCUACGGUCCUCCCCAGUGGUGUGUACACAGUUUGGCUUGGGCACCUCUCUGAUACAAGCGCUUGCAGUUAAUUCUGUGGUGCAUUGUUCAGAACUUUUACUUUGAGGAAAUGAGAGUGCUUCAAGCAAAUUUGUGUUGUGAAUACGUUAGCAUGGAAUAAUAACAUGGGACAUCAUCCUGAAUGUGUUGGUUUUUGGGUAGAUGUAAUGAAGGUGGGGAUAGUUGGGGGCAUUCGUAUUUAACUGUUAGAGGUGAAAUUCUUGGAUUUUUUAAAGAUGGACUACUGCGAAAGCAUCUGCCAAAGAUGUUUUUG